UUCUCUGUGACACCUGGUGCCAAGAGGAUUCCUCUUAUUUCAGGAGCUGCAUAAGCCACAGUGACUCAUUCACCUGGGAACUGGGCAUUUUGUAGAUAAUCCACUUUGCCUCUUAACUGUUCUAAUGUGUUAAAGUGAUGUUACCUCCUUCCUUGCAAUCCCCUGUUAUGAGGAGAAGUUGGGCUCCUCAGGGAAGGAGAAAGGAAUUUCAUUUACUGAGCACCUGCUGGAGGUGACCUGAGGCCCUGCAAUGCACGCAUGACUGAAUUCGUUUUCUAUGGAGACUCUUUUAACCAGAUGUGGGCAAGGUGAUCCCCAGGAUUGGCUGCAGCUAGAGCCUCCUGCUGUCACUGUUGUAUCGUAUUCCACUGGACGCCAAGUCCAUUCUUGUCCACAUGCACACUAGGACAAGGGGAGGAAAAAUCAAUGAAGGUGUUUACCAGAGGAACAAAGGUACUUCUUUACGGUGUGUGUUUAGGAAAAAGAAAUCACCAGAAUGGCCUCCCUGGUGGUGCAAAGGGUUAAGCAACGUACCAUGAAGCAAUCUGCAGCCUCUGCAGCACGAGUUCAAUCCCCGGCCGGCCAAGGAGAAACCCACAUGGUACAGCAGACCUCUUCUGCCUUACCCGCUGGUCCCCUCAGCAGCGUACUUCAGUCAGUCUGCCUGUUCUGUUCCCACCUCUGUCUCUAGUGAAUCCUCUCAUCCCCAACACCUCUGGCUUGUGCCCCAGCUAUUG
Molecule: long non-coding RNA, 737 nt
Organism: Talpa occidentalis (Iberian mole)
Lineage: Eukaryota; Metazoa; Chordata; Mammalia; Eulipotyphla; Talpidae
Exons: 4
Source: RefSeq, a predicted model, not a curated record